AACGAACGCUGGCGGCAGGCUUAACACAUGCAAGUCGAACGGGCAUAGCAAUAUGUCAGUGGCAGACGGGUGAGUAACGCGUGGGAAUCUACCCAUCUCUACGGAAUAACUCAGGGAAACUUGUGCUAAUACCGUAUACGCCCUUUUGGGGAAAGAUUUAUCGGAGAUGGAUGAGCCCGCGUUGGAUUAGCUAGUUGGUGGGGUAAAGGCCUACCAAGGCGACGAUCCAUAGCUGGUCUGAGAGGAUGAUCAGCCACAUUGGGACUGAGACACGGCCCAAACUCCUACGGGAGGCAGCAGUGGGGAAUAUUGGACAAUGGGCGCAAGCCUGAUCCAGCCAUGCCGCGUGUGUGAUGAAGGCCUUAGGGUUGUAAAGCACUUUCACCGGAGAAGAUAAUGACGGUAUCCGGAGAAGAAGCCCCGGCUAACUUCGUGC
Molecule: ribosomal RNA, 436 nt
Filed under: uncultured bacterium
Lineage: Bacteria
Description: bacterial SSU rRNA
Rfam family: Bacterial small subunit ribosomal RNA
Source: RNAcentral